Long non-coding RNA from Canis lupus familiaris (dog), 1699 nucleotides. RefSeq lists it as uncharacterized. The record is from RefSeq and is a predicted model, not a curated record. NCBI's taxonomy places the organism in Eukaryota, Metazoa, Chordata, Mammalia, Carnivora, Canidae. The transcript is spliced from 6 exons.
GUCCACUGAAUUGUAUACCUUAAAAGGGUGAAUUUUAUCUCAAUAAAGCUGUUAUUAAAGCCAAUUGGGAAAAAAAAGAAUCAGUAUUUAAAUGAACUGGAAGUCAGUGGGAUGCGGCAGAGACAAAAGCGGACACAGGCAAGGCCAUCAGGAGAACAGGAAUGGAGGAGAGGGCACCAUCUUAUAAAUUUCUGUGGCAAUGGAGAAGGCAGGCAGGAAUGAGAAUUUGUCACAGCUGGGAGGAAAGAAUGUAAGAACAAAAUCUCAUUAAGAUAUGAGGCAAAAGGACUCACUCCCAAGGAGACUACAGUGAAAAUAAUAUCAUCAUAUUUAAAAAAUCACUCUUGGGAUUAGCAUUGGAUAUUUUAUUAGUGGAAGAAGGUGAGAAGGCCCUUGCUGCUGGUUUCUGGAGUACACUUUGAGGAAGGAGCAAGGCUCUGAAGGGACGUGGCAGGCUCUUCUUUGGCAUGCCCUGGACCCUACUAAGACAGAAGCACGAAUUGGAGCAUCCCAGUACAGUAGAGAAGUAGCUCCUAACUAAUAAAGGAACAGAAGAUGGAUCCCUCAACAAUUCCCUUCCAGCUACAUCCUGUCCACAAACAUGUUAAUGAAAUUUGCAGAUGACCCCAAAAGAGGAUAUGCUGCAAACACCAGGAAAGCCAAAGAAAUUAUGUAAAUCAUUAGCAAUAUGGCAAAGAGAAUGACACUUAACUUGGAAAAAUUUCAAGUAGAGGCAUCUGGGGAGAAGUAAUUGGAAAGAAAAUUUUUCAUGGGGAGGGCAACACCUGGAAAAUAGUAAUAACUAUAAUAGGCCCAAGGGUGAUGCUAAAUGGCAAAUUAGAUACAUGUCUGUUGUAUAAUAUUGUGAGAAAAAUAUGACACUGGCCUCUGGUUACAAAGCAGGGAGAUAAUGGUUCUUUCUGUUUGGCCCUAGUGAGAUAGCACCUGGGAUGCUGUUUUUGGUUUUGGACACUUCAUUAGUGGAAAAUUGUUGGUUAACAUUUGGGAAUUUGGAGGCAAGAAACAGAAACAAUUAAAAGCAUUUAUUUGACACAACACAACCAUUCAAAACCAACAUCACAGAGGGAAAGAAGAAUAAUGAAACUCUAUACUUAGAUUGUGUUGCUGGGAAAUCAAAGAAAUCAAAGGUCUUUUCAUUGUAAUUUCAGCAUGGACCCAUUGUUAAAGCAGGGAGGGACUUUUCAGGUGAAUUUUGAUGAUGUCUAAGUUCCUGGGCUAUGCUAAAAUUCUGUUAGCUGGGCAUGUUGCUCUUGGACUAUGCAUUUCACAGAGCUCUAGAAAGGGUCCUCUUAAAACAUAGAUCUAAUAUGAUUUCCCUGAUUAAAGCCUUCCAGUGGAUUCCCAUGGCAUUUAGAAUAAACCUAACCUUGUAACAGGGCCCACAUUGUUAUGUUGAAUCUGGCCUUUGCCUGGAUCUUGACUUUUACCACUCUCCUCUGAGCUCACCAAUCUUUAGCCAUACUGGCCUCCUUGCUGUUUGUAGAGCUCUCCAAGAUAGUAACAGGCUCAUGGUCUUUGCAUUUGCUGUUCAUUCCUCCAGCUUCUUGCAUUACUGAUUCCUUCUCAUAUUUCCUCCUUUCAUAAACACGUCAUGUGAAGUCUCCAUCCCUAGGUCUCCUGGGUGGCUCUGUCUGUUAAGUGUCUGCCUUCAGAUCAGGUUAUGAUCCCAGAGUCCUGG